This 450-nucleotide ribosomal RNA is filed under the name uncultured bacterium. Its description in RNAcentral is "partial 16S ribosomal RNA". It matches the Rfam family "Bacterial small subunit ribosomal RNA", at positions 354 to 796 of the family's 1533-position model. The record is from RNAcentral.
GUGGGGAAUAUUGGACAAUGGGCGAAAGCCUGAUCCAGCCAUGCCGCGUGUGUGAAGAAGGUCUUCGGAUUGUAAAGCACUUUAAGUUGGGAGGAAGGGCAGUAAGUUAAUAUCUUGCUGUUUUGACGUUACCGACAGAAUAAGCACCGGCUAACUCUGUGCCAGCAGCCGCGGUAAUACAGAGGGUGCAAGCGUUAAUCGGAAUUACUGGGCGUAAAGCGCGCGUAGUUGGUUCGUUAAGUUGGAUGUGAAAGCCCCGGGCUCAACCUGGGAACUGCAUCCAAAACUGGCGAGCUAGAGUACGGUAGAGGGUGGUGGAAUUUCCUGUGUAGCGGUGAAAUGCGUAGAUAUAGGAAGGAACACCAGUGGCGAAGGCGACCACCUGGACUGAUACUGACACUGAGGUGCGAAAGCGUGGGGAGCAAACAGGAUUAGAAACCCUGGUAGUCC